GUCUACAGCCAUGCCUCCCUGAACGUGCCCGAUCUCGUCUGAUCUCGGAAGCUAAGCAGGAUUGGGCCUGGUUAGUACUUGGAUGGGAGACCACCUAGGAAGACCAGGUGCUAUAGGUG
Molecule: ribosomal RNA, 119 nt
Filed under: Pteropus alecto (black flying fox)
Lineage: Eukaryota; Metazoa; Chordata; Mammalia; Chiroptera; Pteropodidae
Also listed under: 1 other name
Source: RNAcentral